GUGGUCCACGUCCAACUCCAAUCUGUGGUAAACGCAGCCGGCCAGGACCAAUCGCUUGUGAAGCGGAAGCCCUAGGAUGCUGAUCGGACGGGUGGGAUUGCGUAGCAACGUCAACGCACCAAGCAGCCGCGCUCGCAAAGCGGAAGCCAAGCCAAGAGGAUAUUUAUCUUUCCCCGUUCUCGCCGCCGGCGCCGAUGGAUGCAACACCCGCUGCUGCCGCCGGUGCCUCCACUUACCCCCAUCGUGCGCGGGUGCCGCGGGGUCCUCCUACUGAGGAAACAAUGGUGCCAGUGGCGCGGCCGGCGGCCCGCUCCGAUCGCUGCCCCCCGAAGGAGCUCCGGCCGAGCUGAAAGAGGACUCCAAGUUUGUGCUGUUGAACGCGGACGAUCCCGUGCACGGCCCACCGGUGACGGUGAGUGCUCGCAGCUGUUCUACAUCGUUGCAUGCAUGUCAUGCGAGUACAUGGAAACGCUGAAAAUUACAGCAUAUCAACUCCUAUAUAUGUGAAUUUCAGGCGCUAUUGCUCAUCCGAGAGGUGAAACUGUCACUGUAAUCAGUAAUGUCAAUUUGCAGAGUACUAGUAUUUUUCUCCA
This is a long non-coding RNA of Zea mays, 593 nucleotides long. RefSeq lists it as uncharacterized. The transcript is spliced from 2 exons. The record is from RefSeq and is a predicted model, not a curated record. NCBI's taxonomy places the organism in Eukaryota, Viridiplantae, Streptophyta, Magnoliopsida, Poales, Poaceae.